Molecule: long non-coding RNA, 785 nt
Organism: Hipposideros armiger (great roundleaf bat)
Lineage: Eukaryota; Metazoa; Chordata; Mammalia; Chiroptera; Hipposideridae
Exons: 4
Source: RefSeq, a predicted model, not a curated record
AGAAACUCUGAUGCCUGAUUUCCUGAAAUAAAUCGAGGAGCUCCAAUUUCUGGGAACCUGGGUGUCCUGGGAGAACCUGGCUUUUGCUCUUUCGAAAACUCAGCAUUAAAGUAGCAGAGAGCUGUUCUCUCUGAGACUGCCUGCCUGUGGCACCAUGGUCUGCUAAAAAGGCCUGUAAUGCAAUUGAGGAAAGUUCUCUGUUUCCUGUCAGGGUCUGGGGGAAAGAGGCCAAGUGUGUGCUGUGUGCUUCUUGUACCUGCCUGUUCACCAAGUGGAACUCCCUAGGCUGGCCACUGCAGGGUCUCAGCUCAGAUACAGCCCGAUUCCUGUGCUAGAGUCAAUGCUUACCAGGCACUUUUGAGAUGAGCAUGUGACAAAACCAAUCAUGGAAUCCAUCACACAUUCAUUUAAUCUUCCAUCUGAACAUAUUGGUUUAUCCUUCUCUUUCUCUUUCCCCUCUAUGAGUUAACUAACAUUCUGCAGGUGCUUUGAAUGACUCAGCCCAAAUCUGCAACCCAGAGUUUUCCUGGAAGUAACUGACCAAUCCUUAUAUAGAAGAUGCAGGAGAAGAGUCCAUUUUCUGUGAGGCGUUGCUGUUCCAUCUGACCAGCUAGUUUAUGCUAACAGUGUGACUCGUGGUGAACAUCUGUUUUUGUAUGCCUGAGGCCCUGGACCAUGCUUUUGGAUCAAAGUAAUGUUGACCCCAUAAAACAAGAUGUAAAAGGUUCCCUUCUUUUGGUUUCUUCUGUUAAAACUCAUCAGUUAUUGGAAUUAAAAAAAAUAAA